AGGUGGAGGUUAGAGUCAGGCCUUGGGGAGGUUGUGGGGGAGGUAGUCAGGCCAAGUAGAGGUGAAGUCAUGUGAAGUUAUUGGGGUGGAGAGUCCUGUGAGUUGGGGAGUUCCUUUUCUCACUGGCCUUGUACUUUUCCCUCUCAGAGAGCUGAAAAAUCCCUGUCCUCGCUCUCUGACACACACUGAACUCUGUCCUGUCUUUCUCUAUGUCUCUGUAUCACUUAACAACUGUUGCUAGGCAAUAGCACUGUUUUUUCUAUUUUGGGUGGAAUUUUCUGUGCCCGCUGGUGUCGAGGGUGUUCAAUGGCAUGAACAGUAUGGCGAGCAGGCCAAAAAUCUGUUUCACAACAUCGUGAAAACCGUAUGCAAUCGUCCGCCCAGCCCCUUGAUGGCAGGCUGCGUUUCACACUGACGUGUUUCACAACAGCAUAUAUCAGGAAUGCACUUGCUGGGCUGCACUUUGAGGGGAACUCAGAGGUUUGACUGAACACAACCAAAUCAUCAAUAUAUACCAUACAGUUGUAUGACCUUGUUGGUUAACCUUUGAAAAGUUGCUGGUGAAAUCUCCAUUCCGAAAGGCAUGACAUUGCACUGAAAAAGUCCAUCCAGGGUUACAAAAGCUGAUAUCUCUAUGGCUAUAUUGGUUAAUAGAAUUUGCCAAUAUCCCUUCAAUAAAUCAAUUUUUGUAAUGAA
Carcharodon carcharias (great white shark) is the source of this 696-nucleotide long non-coding RNA. RefSeq lists it as uncharacterized. The record is from RefSeq and is a predicted model, not a curated record. NCBI's taxonomy places the organism in Eukaryota, Metazoa, Chordata, Chondrichthyes, Lamniformes, Lamnidae. The transcript is spliced from 2 exons.